CUUAAGGAUCUCAUUUUGCUUCAACUAUGCACUUUGCCUAGACCACCAGUAGGGAAUCUUCUCUGCUGCACGCUCUUUAAGGAAAGAAAGAAAAGAAGAACACAAAGAAGGACUUUUGAAUCCCACAAGAAGACAGCCUUCACUUGUCAUCAUCCCCUCAGAUUACCUACCCCACCAAAGACAGCGCUAACUCCUCGAGGGCCUGAGAGAGUAGAGCGACGGUGGAACAUUUCUAUCAUUUGGCUCCUCUUUGUUCACUGAGAAAUCAUACGUUAAUUAUUUGAUAAGCGUGCUUUACGCUCUGCAUGCACGUCUAAGAUUAACCUGCACACAGGAGUCUAAAGUCUUAUUCUUGUGGAUCCGCACACACAUCGUUGAAUUCUGUGUCCUGUUUAAAUACCACCCUUAACUAGAGAAAUGGAGGAGGCUAUCUGACAAUUAAGAACACUGCGAGAAAGAACCCUGAAACUCACUCUCCUUUUAGGUGCUGGUGAUGCUUUACUGUGAAGUCUCUUGGAAGGGGUUUUGUGUUUUGCUGUCAGUUGCUUCUGCAGAACUUCAUGAUGUUUAUAAACCCUUUACCAGAAAGUUGUUGAGCAGAAGAAACACAAGGCAAUAAAUCCCAAUGGCCUGGGUGCUCCCCACUGAGACCUAUUCCUCACCACCUUUUCCAGCCAAAUAGCACUGGCUUUUGUCUGCUAAGAACACUACCCACCAUGAUCCAAAACAGAGCACUCCAGCAUCCAAGACGGUAACGGCUGAGGUAAUGCUUUUUGAAAUUACUGAAUCCUGACAACCUUGGUUCUAUUACUGACCAUGCUAAACCUUGGCAAUAUUCAUUAUUCUCCCAGUGUUCUUGUAAGUUUGUCCCAGCACUUUUCCUACUACCAACUUCAAGCUUUUACAGUCCCUCAGUCUCAGAUGUACACCUCAGAAGUUCUUUCUUUUUUCUAUUUGAAAUCAUUGAUUAAAUAACGAUGGAUACAUUAUAUAUGUAUCAAUUUACAUUUUAUAUGUAUCAAUUUGCAUGUAUGUAUGCAAUUUACAUUACAUAUGUAAAUUCCAAAGUUCCAUCGGAGUUUCUGGAUUAAUUUUUUUUAAGUAAAAAUUGUAUGGGAUAGAGAAAUAACUGAGUUGGUAAAAGUGUUUGCAGGCAAGCUUGAAAACGGAAUUCUGUCCACAAAUCCCAGAUGAACACGGUAUGUGGAGAUGUGUGCUUGCAAUUUCAAUGCUGGAGGGGCAGAGAUGGAAGGUUCCUGUGGCUCAGUGGACACCCUGUAUAGCCUAAUUGGUGAGUCCCACACCAAUGACAGACUUGUGUCAUUGAUGAACAGCAACUGAGGAACAACAGCUAUGGUGUCCUUCGGACCCUAUACAUAUCUAUAUCCUCUCACAUAGGAACAUGUGCAUACAGAUUGAAAAAUCUGUGAAAUAGCA
This 1437-nucleotide long non-coding RNA is filed under the name Rattus norvegicus (Norway rat). Its description in RNAcentral is "long non-coding RNA NONRATT015068". Lineage: Eukaryota; Metazoa; Chordata; Mammalia; Rodentia; Muridae. The record is from RNAcentral.